Molecule: ribosomal RNA, 433 nt
Filed under: uncultured bacterium
Lineage: Bacteria
Description: partial 16S ribosomal RNA
Rfam family: Bacterial small subunit ribosomal RNA
Source: RNAcentral
AACGAACGCUGGCGGCAUGCCUAACACAUGCAAGUCGAACGAGACCUUCGGGUCUUUUGGCGCACGGGUGCGUCACGCGUGGGAACCUGCCCUUAGGUUCGGAAUAACUCCCCGACAGGGGUGCUAAUACCGGAUAAUGUCUUCGGACCAAAGAUUUAUCGCCUUUGGAUGGGCCGGCGUUGGAUUAGCUAGUUGGUAGGGUAAAAGACUACCAAGGCGACGAUCCAUAGCUGGUCUGGGAGGAUGAUCAGCCACACUGGGACUGAGACACGGCCCAGACUCCUACGGGAGGCAGCAGUGGGGAAUAUUGGACAAUGGGCGAAGGCCUGAUCCAGCAAGGCCGCGUGAGUGAUGAAGGCCGUAGGGUUGUAAAGCGCUUGUACCCGGGAUGAUAAUGACAGUACCGGGAGAAUAAGCCCCGGCUAACUCCGUG